This 694-nucleotide long non-coding RNA is filed under the name Homo sapiens (human). RNAcentral's name for it is "HSALNT0046675". The record is from RNAcentral. Lineage: Eukaryota; Metazoa; Chordata; Mammalia; Primates; Hominidae.
GGGACUACAGGCGCCUGCCACGACGCCCGGCUAAGUUUUUGUAUUUUUAGUAGAGACGGGGUUUCACCGUGUUAGCCAGGAUGGCCUGGAUCUCCUGACCUCGUGAUCCGCCCGCCUUGGCCUCCCAGAGUGCUGGAUUCCAGGCGUGAGCCACCGCGCCCGGCCCCUCUUUCUCCAUCUUUAAAGACAGCAGGACAUGGAGAACAACCACGGCUGUGCCCGGUUCUUCAGGUGGCUGCCAGUCCCCCCGUGCCUGCUCCCUGUCCCUGCCUGCCUUCCCGCUGAUGAUGACUGACGUUCUGGGACGGAGGAGCAGGUUAGGCCUAGGUACAGUUGUGUGCUGGUAAAUUUGUAACAAAAGGCUCUCCAGGGGAAGAAAAGCCCUGAUUUUCAGUGUUUGCCAAUUUCCACGGUAUUAAAAGUACUCACACCAAGGCCGGUUUUAAGCAGUGCUCCUGAAGUCCCUGAAGACAGAGUUGAAAAGCAUCGUGCACAGUUGACUCUUCUAAGCUAGUCCGAGCUGGCUCCAACACACUACUGCCUAUAAAAAGAGGAAGUAUUCUAGAGAAUAUAAAAAGACUUCUUGAGUACUAAGAGGUCGUGAAGACAGCUUUGGAAAUGUUAUAAGCGUCAAGAUUCGCUCAAGAUACACCUGCUUCUCUUGCAAAAGGUACACCGCUUGUUCUACAUUAUC